GAGCUACACGUUAAAUAUAACAACCGUGGAAGGUUUUGACACAUUUAUGUCAAGUCUUACAAACAAAUCAUUCCGGCCAACUAAGAGUGGUAGUGGGGUUGACCUCGUCUUGAGCUGUGUAGAUAAUUAUGAAGCAAGGAUGGUGGUAAAUCAGGCCUGCAAUGAAUUAAAUCAGACAUGGAUGGAAUCUGGUGUAUCUGAAGAUGCUGUGUCAGGUCACAUACAAUUGCUGAUUCCUGGUGAAACUGCCUGCUUUGCAUGUGUGCCUCCUCUGGUAGUAGCAUCUGGAAUUGAUGAACGAACCCUAAAGCGUGAAGGGGUUUGUGCUGCAUCACUACCUACUACAAUGGGAGUUGUUGCUGGACUUUUAGUUCAAAACACAUUGAAGUACUUGUUGAAGUUCGGACAGGUGUCACGCUAUCUGGGGUACAAUGCUCUCAAAGAUUAUUUUCCAACAAUGGAGAUGAAGCCAAACUCACAAUGUUCAAAUGCUGCUUGUUUGGAACGACAGAAGGAAUACAUUCUUGCAAAGCCUACUAGGGAUGCUGCUGCUAAAGCAAAGGCGGACAUAGAAGCAGUAUCACCUGCAGAAAACCCUGUUCAUGCAGACAAUGAAUGGAACAUAAGCGUUGUAGAUGACGAAGAGGUGGAUGGUUCUGACGUGAAAAAUUCAGGUGUCCUUCCCGAAGGUAUUGUUCAUGAGCUGCCAGUAGCUGACGAUUACCCAAAAGCACCUGUCACAGAGACUGUUGGUCCUGCGGAUGACCUUGAAGAGCUCAGAAGGCAACUUGAAGCCCUUAACGCUGAUUAGACUACUGAAAAUACAAAAAGAGAAAAAUUCUUACUAUAGAGAAAAGUAAAACUUGCUCGAAGUUGCAUGAUGCUCGUGUAAAAUUUCCUUGCUUUGGAGAAAAAUUAUGCUUCCUAAAGUGAGCUCGAACACAUUUGGGAUCUUGGCGGCAUUUUUAAUGCCUAGUGUUCCUAUUCCCAGCAUGUGGGAUGAACUAGUCCUACAUUGCAACAACUUAC
This 1029-nucleotide unclassified non-coding RNA is filed under the name Hevea brasiliensis (rubber tree). Lineage: Eukaryota; Viridiplantae; Streptophyta; Magnoliopsida; Malpighiales; Euphorbiaceae. The record is from RNAcentral.